Molecule: ribosomal RNA, 454 nt
Filed under: uncultured bacterium
Lineage: Bacteria
Description: partial 16S ribosomal RNA
Rfam family: Bacterial small subunit ribosomal RNA
Source: RNAcentral
GAUGAACGCUGACAGAAUGCUUAACACAUGCAAGUCAACUUGAACUUCGGUUUGGGUGGCGGACGGGUGAGUAACGCGUAAAGAACUUGCCUCACAGAUAGGGACAACAUUUGGAAACGAAUGCUAAUACCUGAUAUUAUGAUUAUAUGGCAUCGUAUAAUUAUGAAAGCUAUAUGCGCUGUGAGAGAGCUUUGCGUCCCAUUAGCUAGUUGGAGAGGUAACGGCUCACCAAGGCGAUGAUGGGUAGCCGGCCUGAGAGGGUGAUCGGCCACAAGGGGACUGAGACACGGCUCUUACUCCUACGGGAGGCAGCAGUGGGGAAUAUUGGACAAUGGACCAAGAGUCUGAUCCAGCAAUUCUGUGGGCACGAUGAAGUUUGUCGGAAUGUAAAGUGCUUUCAGUUGGGAAGAAAAAAAGGACGGUACCAACAGAAGAAGUGACGGCUAAAUACGUG